CAAAAUAUAUGUUAAGUGGAAAAGGAUGUGGCGUUGCCCAGACAACUAGGAUGUUGGCUUAGAAGCAGCCAUCAUUUAAAGAGUGCGUAAUAGCUCACUAGUCGAGUGACACUGCGCCGAAAAUGUACCGGGGCUAAACAUAUUACCGAAGCUGUGGAUUGUCCUUUGGACAAUGGUAGGAGAGCGUUCUAAGGGCGUUGAAGCAUGAUCGUAAGGACAUGUGGAGCGCUUAGAAGUGAGAAUGCCGGUGUGAGUAGCGAAAGACGGGUGAGAAUCCCGUCCACCGAUUGACUAAGGUUUCCAGAGGAAGGCUCGUCCGCUCUGGGUUAGUCGGGUCCUAAGCUGAGGCCGACAGGCGUAGGCGAUGGAUAACAGGUUGAUAUUCCUGUACCACCUAUAAUCGUUUUA
RNAcentral lists this ribosomal RNA (408 nucleotides) under Staphylococcus aureus. RNAcentral describes it as "partial 23S ribosomal RNA". It matches the Rfam family "Bacterial large subunit ribosomal RNA", at positions 1048 to 1461 of the family's 2925-position model. The record is from RNAcentral. Lineage: Bacteria; Bacillati; Bacillota; Bacilli; Caryophanales; Staphylococcaceae.